Branchiostoma belcheri (Belcher's lancelet) is the source of this 1279-nucleotide RNA transcript. It is a transcript of the gene named integumentary mucin C.1-like, with no coding region annotated. NCBI's taxonomy places the organism in Eukaryota, Metazoa, Chordata, Leptocardii, Amphioxiformes, Branchiostomatidae. The record is from RefSeq and is a predicted model, not a curated record. The transcript has 5 exons.
ACUAGUCUACGAUCCACACUGACGAUGCUGCCCGCCAUUUUCUCAGUCUCCCUCCUGUUCGUGAUAACCAGCGCUGCUGCCGGCCCUCCCACCACCUCCGUCCCCUUCGUCUGGCCCACCAAAACCACCAGCCCGACUCUGCCCACCAAAACCACCAGCCCGACUCUGCCCUGUCGGGACUACCUCAGGUUCGUGUGUCCGCAGCUGAACUGUCCGGACGCCGUGCCUCACAACUACGCCAGAUGUCUGUGCGGGUACUGUCCGAACGGUCCGAUGACCACCGUGCCGACAACCGUACAGACCCCAACUCAAGCCACGGCCGCUCCUGCGCUGAAAACCAUGCCAACUCUACGGACGACCGAGAGGACGACCACUGAGCCCUGGACUCCUCCGGAGACUACCACCUGGACUCCGGAGACUACCAGUAGUACCACCACACCGUUUUCUACCACCACAUACUGUAACGAUUGGUGCUGUUACUGGAAAGAUCCGAGGUGCACCUAUACCACCACCACCCCCCCUCUGCCAUGUUUGCUCCGCCGCUUGAAGAACCUAAGCUAUGACUGCCUCGACCCUCCGUGCGUGGACAAGGCGGAGUACAACUCCUUCGCCUGUUCAUGCGGUACAUGUCCUACAGGCCCGAACUGUUACGCCUGGGACGGUUCCAUUAUCCCCGCGGGGGAGCCAGUUGCAGUGGACGGUGCCAUGUGUGAGUGCAGGUGGAAGACGUGGGGGGACAGGUUCUCCCCGUACGCAACCUGCAGAUGGGGCGUCCUCUCGGGCUGACAGUUUAACCACUGUGGCACCCCGGCCAGUCUUUCCUGAGUCCUAAAGCAGGGUGCCAAAGAAUUCAUACAAUUUUACAGAAUGCAUGAUAAAAUGUGCACCUCAUGUAGCUUGUUUUGUGGCUAUAUAUAACUGAAAUGAGGGCGAAAGUAUGCCAAAAAUGCCAGUAAAUGUCAAUAUAGUUUUGCAUUGCCGUCCUAAAAUUGCAUUGGAUGCCUUAAAAUUGGCAAGGCAGUAUCAAACUGUUAGGACAGUAUUUUCGAACCCGUAUGCUACACAGUAAAAGACCCUGAUGAUGAUGAGAAACAUUAACUCAUAAGUCGAGGUUAACAUCAUUUGACAAAGGUAUGAUAUCAUGGAACUCUUAAAAACAGGUAAUGUUGUGAUAAACUUAUGUAAUGAUUAAAAGUUGAGAAAUCGUGGACUAUCAGUUGAUAGUAUGCUUUCAAACAAUAGGAGUUUAGACCCACGCUUCAACUAGGUCUCAUGAAUC